GACGAACGCUGGCGGCGUGCUUAACACAUGCAAGUCGAACGGAAAGGCCUCUUUCGGGGGGUACUCGAGUGGCGAACGGGUGAGUAACACGUGAGUAACCUGCCCUUUACUUUGGGAUAACUUCAGAAAACUGGGGCUAAUACCGGAUAGGAGCUCCUGCUGCCUGGUGGGGGUUGGAAAGUUUCGGCGGUUGGGGGUGGGCUCGCGGCUUAUCAGCUUGUUGGUGGGGUCGUGGCUUACCAAGGCUUUGGCGGGUAGCCGGCCUGUGAGAGUGACCGGCGACACUGGGACUGAGAGACGGCCCAGACGCCGACGGGAGGAAGCAGUGGGGAAGAUUGAACAAUGGGUGGAAGGCUGAUGCAGCAACGCCGUGGGCGGGAUGACGGUCUUCGGGUUGUAAACCGCUUGCGCGCAUGACGAAGCUUGGUGUGACGGUAGUGGGUAAAGAAGCACCGGCUAACUACGUG
RNAcentral lists this ribosomal RNA (467 nucleotides) under uncultured bacterium. Its description in RNAcentral is "partial 16S ribosomal RNA". It matches the Rfam family "Bacterial small subunit ribosomal RNA", at positions 28 to 507 of the family's 1533-position model. The record is from RNAcentral.